RNAcentral lists this long non-coding RNA (282 nucleotides) under Capsicum annuum. Its description in RNAcentral is "long non-coding RNA (CANN_LNC020194)". Lineage: Eukaryota; Viridiplantae; Streptophyta; Magnoliopsida; Solanales; Solanaceae. The record is from RNAcentral.
GUAAAUCGGAGGAUGGAGUCAAGUGGGAAGCUGGACUCUUACGGUGAAUGUUGUCAACUAAGUAUAUCAGGUCCUUAUGUGUUCAGAUUGGAUUCAAAUAACUUGCAGUUGUCCUGCCAUCAAAAUGAGUUUAGCACGAUUAUUGUUAUAAAUCUUGAUUUUACUAUCCCGCAUUUUUGUUCCUUCAAGAGAGGGCAUCUAUAUGGAUAUGCCCAAUAUAUGCAGCAUGUUUUCUUUUCUUUUUUGCUUCUUAUUUUACCAAGCUUUUUUUAGCAGAGGCCC